This 73-nucleotide transfer RNA is filed under the name Sundasciurus brookei (Brooke's squirrel). Its description in RNAcentral is "tRNA-Gln". It matches the Rfam family "tRNA". Rfam says of the family: Transfer RNA (tRNA) molecules are approximately 80 nucleotides in length. Their secondary structure includes four short double-helical elements and three loops (D, anti-codon, and T loops). The record is from RNAcentral. Lineage: Eukaryota; Metazoa; Chordata; Mammalia; Rodentia; Sciuridae.
UAGAAUAUGGUGUAUAGAGGUAGCACGAAGAAUUUUGAGUUCUUAGGAAUAGGUUCAAGUCCUGUAAUUCUAG